AGAGCGAACGUUAGCGGCGGGCCUAACACAUGCAAGUCGAACGCGAAAGGUCUUCGGACUGAGUAGAGUGGCGCACGGGUGAGUAACACGUAGGUAAUCUACCCUUUGGCGGGGGAUAACGUUCCGAAAGGAGCGCUAAUACCGCAUAAGACCACGGAGUCUCCGGACGCUGUGGGAAAAGGUGGCCUCUUCUUGAAAGCUAUCACCGAAGGAUGAGCCUGCGUCCCAUCAGCUAGUUGGUAAGGUAAUGGCUUACCAAGGCGAAGACGGGUAGCUGGUUUGAGAGAAUGAUCAGCCACACUGGCACUGGAACACGGGCCAGACUCCUACGGGAGGCAGCAGUGAGGAAUAUUGGGCAAUGGGCGAAAGCCUGACCCAGCCACGCCGCGUGAGUGAUGAAGGCCCUCGGGUCGUAAAGCUCUGUGGAGAGGGACGAAAACCCUGGUUUCAAAUAGGCUCCAGGCUUGACGGUACCUCUUUAGCAAGCACCGGCUAACUCUGUG
This 503-nucleotide ribosomal RNA is filed under the name uncultured bacterium. RNAcentral describes it as "bacterial SSU rRNA". It matches the Rfam family "Bacterial small subunit ribosomal RNA", at positions 26 to 507 of the family's 1533-position model. The record is from RNAcentral.